UGGGUAAUCUUGUGAAACUUCAUCGUGAUGGGGAUAGAGCAUUGCAAUUAUUGCUCUUCAACGAGGAAUCCCUAGUAAGCACAAGUCAUCAGCUUGUGUUGAUUACGUCCCUGCCCUUUGUACACCACCGCCCGUCGCUACUACCGAUUGAAUGGCUUAGUGAGACCCUCGGAUUGGUAUUCAGAAGCUUUAACCGGCAUCUGUUUGCUGAGAAGUUGGUCAAACUUGGUCAUUUAGAGGAAGUAAAAGUCGUAACAAGGUAGCCGUAGGUGAACCUGCGGAAGGAUCAUU
This 291-nucleotide ribosomal RNA is filed under the name Funneliformis mosseae. RNAcentral's name for it is "partial 18S ribosomal RNA". It matches the Rfam family "Eukaryotic small subunit ribosomal RNA", at positions 1543 to 1830 of the family's 1831-position model. The record is from RNAcentral. Lineage: Eukaryota; Fungi; Glomeromycota; Glomeromycetes; Glomerales; Glomeraceae.